Molecule: ribosomal RNA, 465 nt
Filed under: uncultured bacterium
Lineage: Bacteria
Description: partial 16S ribosomal RNA
Rfam family: Bacterial small subunit ribosomal RNA
Source: RNAcentral
GACGAACGCUGGCGGCGUGCUUAACACAUGCAAGUCGUACGGUAAGGCCCUUUCGGGGGUACACGAGUGGCGAACGGGUGAGUAACACGUGAGUAACCUGCCCACAACUUUGGGAUAACGCUAGGAAACUGGUGCUAAUACUGGAUAUGUGCUCCUGCUGCAUGGUGGGGGUUGGAAAGCUCCGGCGGUUGUGGAUGGACUCGCGGCCUAUCAGCUUGUUGGUGGGGUAGUGGCCUACCAAGGCGGCGACGGGUAGCCGGCCUGAGAGGGUGACCGGCCACAUUGGGACUGAGAUACGGCCCAGACUCCUACGGGAGGCAGCAGUGGGGAAUAUUGCACAAUGGGCGCAAGCCUGAUGCAGCAACGCCGCGUGCGGGAUGACGGCCUUCGGGUUGUAAACCGCUUUCAGCAGGGACGAAGCUUUUUGUGACGGUACCUGCAGAAGAAGCACCGGCUAGCUACGUG